Molecule: long non-coding RNA, 2040 nt
Filed under: Homo sapiens (human)
Lineage: Eukaryota; Metazoa; Chordata; Mammalia; Primates; Hominidae
Description: non-protein coding lnc-SDCBP-2:7
Source: RNAcentral
GUACAAUGGAAGCCCUUCUGCCUUGCUCAAGACUGGAUGUCCCUCUUUUCUAACUUGCCUAAACACCAUCGGCACACAGCACAGUCCUUUGAGUGGGUCUCACACUGGACACAGCAUCGAGGAGCUUCUCCACGGGGAAGUGUGUGUGUGAGAGCCUGCCUGUGUGUCAACACUGUCCAAGACUCGGAGCUGCGACUCGGUCGCGUGGUGCGGAGUCCAGGGCUGAGAAGGCAGCGCACUAAAUAUCUCUGUAUCAGUGUUCAGCAAAACAAGCUUAGACGGAACAGAGUGAGGUGUCUGGGCUCAGGAGUAAAAGAAACACCUUCCUUCCCUCACAUCCGUUUGUGGUUUGUUUAAGAAGAAGAGGAAAAAAAAAAAAAAGAGGGGGGAAAAGCGCUCAACUCUCCCCCAAGCCGCGGCGCGCACCCGUCGGCGCCGAGCGCGCAGCCUGCUCCACCGCCGCCUCUUGGUCCCGCCGCCGCCGCUGCCGCCGCCGCCGGGCAGCUGGACGCCCUAUAGGGCUCUUGGCAGUCCACGAAAGACCUGGAGUCCGCCUCCCCAUUUCUCCGGUCGGUGAGUGGCAGGAGGAAAUCGCCAAACAUGUUUUCCCGCUUUGCCUCCCCAACUCGGAAACUUGCAACUUGCCGUGUCCUGGAGGUUGAGACAAUUUGGGGUCUCUUGGCUGCCGUCCAACAGAUUUAUCUCUGAGGGCAGUGUCCUUGGUGAGAGGUCCAAGUAGGUGUGGGCGACAUUGUCCUCCAUCUCAUGAGGGAGCAGCCCUGCACACUAGGGCCCAAAACUCUGCGAAGGAGCUUGGAAGUUCUUCAUCCGUUCCACUUGUUUUGCUACUCCACACACCCUUCUAGGACAUGUUGAUUGCCAACUGCUCUGUGCAGCUUUCCCAUAGCUGUCUGUUCCCGUGCAUUUCGGAGCACCAAGCAAAUACGAGCAGAGAGACCUGGAAAAAAAAAUGAUGAAGACAGUAUUAAUGAUAAAAUUAACAUGGCUGAGUGAAUUGUCAAUGCAAGUUCCUUUACUAACUCUUUGUUAAGUUUUGCUUUGUACUCCUUACAUCCUCUUUCUCUUAAGCCAUUGUUUUAAUUUCUUCUCGUUAUCAUUUUUAAAAGUAACAGAAAUACAGCUUUCUUCCUACCUUCACGAUUGACUUGGUGGAGGUUGGGUUGCAAAGAGGAAGCAGUAAGAAAAAAUAAUUAUUCUAUACAUUCACAAGUCCUUCAAGGCACAAAAUAAAAGUAAGAAAUAGAAAAUAUGUCCUUUCUCCUAAUAAAGGUCUUUAUAAUAAAAUUUAAAUGAAGUUUUGUGUUUCAUAACAGCUUCCCAAAUACUGUUGUAGAUACUAAAAUGUGCCUGUAUGUAUUUCCUUCCACAAUAAUAAUAGUAAUAAUAAACUUUUUUAGGUCCAAAUUAAACAUUUCUCAGCUUAAAUUUCUAUCCUCAAUCCAACAUUUAUUAUAUCAAAACUUGAUUUUUAAAAAUAAAACUUUCUUGGAAUUCAUCAUUGAUGUCUGUUUGAUGGCCUCGUGAACAUCAGGAAGAUGAAAUGAAAUGGUUCAAGACUGGAACAAUACCAUUAUCUGCAUCUUGACUCCUGGGAGAUAAUGAUAUCUCCUGCUUUCCUCUACAGACCUACCAGUUUUCUCUGCUUUAAGGGAAAAUCCAAAUGCAUGAGACCUGUGCAUUCUUCUACAUAAUCAAGAGUCUGGUUUCUUCCAUCGGAGUGUAUGGAGUUAAAGUGGUAUACUGUACAUGGCAUGGUGUGAUAGGUGGGAAUAUGAGCUACUGGGGGAAAAAGUUCUUACUUCUAGCCACUUAUACAAAGAGAGGCCAUCUCAGUGUAAUCUGAAAAAAUGCUCACUUUAUAAUGCUGUAUCCAAGGCCCAUCAAAAACUAAAUGGAUGUAUUUGUACUAAAAGUUGGGGAAAGUUGAAUAUCUAAACCUCUGAGCAAAUCUUUCUUAAUUUAGAAAAUAAAAUAGAGCAUCAUUGUAAUACUUUUCAGUUUCCUGGACAUUCAACUCCA